RNAcentral lists this ribosomal RNA (376 nucleotides) under uncultured bacterium. RNAcentral's name for it is "bacterial SSU rRNA". It matches the Rfam family "Bacterial small subunit ribosomal RNA", at positions 28 to 404 of the family's 1533-position model. The record is from RNAcentral.
GACGAACGCUGGCGGCGUGCUUAACACAUGCAAGUCGAGCGGUAAGGCCCUUUCGGGGGUACACGAGCGGCGAACGGGUGAGUAACACGUGGGUGACCUGCCCUCAGCUCUGGGAUAAGCCUGGGAAACCGGGUCUAAUACCGGAUAUGACUCCAUGACGCAUGUUGUGGGGUGGAAAGCCUUGUGCGGCUGAGGAGUGGGCCCGCGGCCUAUCAGCUUGUUGGUGGGGUGAUGGCCUACCAAGGCGACGACGGGUAGCCGGCCUGAGAGGGCGACCGGCCACACUGGGACUGAGACACGGCCCAGACUCCUACGGGAGGCAGCAGUGGGGAAUCUUGCGCAAUGGGCGAAAGCCUGACGCAGCGACGCCGCGUGA